Tetracentron sinense is the source of this 72-nucleotide non-coding RNA. The record is from the annotation of a GenBank genome assembly. Lineage: Eukaryota; Viridiplantae; Streptophyta; Magnoliopsida; Trochodendrales; Trochodendraceae.
ACGCUUGUCCUAGUGGUAAGGGUAUCUCCCCCUCAUGGUGGAGGUUCGGGGAUCGAUCCCCAGGGAGGUGUG